CCACCCUCCUCACAUGCUCCAUUCCCUCCUUUUUUAAUCCCCAUCGCGCCCUAGGAAACCCUAGCUCCCUCCUCCCCCUCUUGCGCCACCACCAUCUCCUCCUCUCCUCACCCUUUUUCUCUUCUCUGUGAGCUCACGGAGGAGAAAACUCCCACAGCACCACACCAUGCCGCCAUGGCGCCGUUGCUUGAGGCUGCCCCUCGCCAAGCUGAGGGCACCGAAAGGUGCGCACCAUCGUCCUCAUCCUCCUCCUCGAAGGAAUUGUCCUAGGAGGCCCUGGGACGUCGUCACGCUCGCCGAUUCCGUCUCUGACCACCGGCGUUCAUCUUCAAAUUCCGGCCACUCCGGCGACCCCCUGAAGUCCGCACCACCACCAUCUGAUUCCCCAUGUUCUGGGGCAACCCCGAAGGCCUCCAGCUCGUCUUGGUUCGGCCUGGAACGCAAGAUCCGUCCGCAACCUGAGCCGUCCGCCAUGGGUGACAUCCUUGAGCUCCGCCUCUUUUUCCUUCAUCUUGCAUAGCGUCCUUGUCUCUACACGAAUCGAACCAGUAACACAGUGAUCCAGCGCCUACUGGGCCUCGGCCCAUGUUCCUGCCAGCUUCUUCGACGCUGAGCGUGCGGCAGGCCACCAUCCGUCGCUCAGCAUUUGCUUCUUCCCGGAUAGGAACGCGAAGUGGUGUGGUGAGAUACGACAAGUUCUCCGGAUGUUCCUCGGCAAGCUUUAACAGGCAAGCAUUUCCCCUAUACUCCUGUCCCUGCAGGAGUCGCUCACCUAUUUUAUUUUGCCUUCUCCCUCAUGCUAUCCUUAAGUUGCGUUCUUGUCACGUGUCCUUUCCACUUGUUACCUCAAGCAGCCCAUAUUGCCACCACCACCUCCUACGGCUAUUGUUUGGUUAUCGAGUCUGCCCUUGCGAGUCGUAGUGCAUGCUAGUGCUGUUUUAUCUUGUUACCGUUGUUGUUAUCCUAUCGGGUUAUAUGU
This is a non-coding RNA of Lolium perenne, 979 nucleotides long. The record is from RefSeq and is a predicted model, not a curated record. Lineage: Eukaryota; Viridiplantae; Streptophyta; Magnoliopsida; Poales; Poaceae.